This 408-nucleotide ribosomal RNA is filed under the name Triticum aestivum (bread wheat). RNAcentral describes it as "partial small subunit ribosomal RNA". The record is from RNAcentral. Lineage: Eukaryota; Viridiplantae; Streptophyta; Magnoliopsida; Poales; Poaceae.
AUGGCUCGUAAGGUUUUCAACGUUGUGGCAUCCAUCCUCAUAUUGGCGUUCCUCAUGUCUUGUGAUGUGGUUCAAAGCACUUGCCAUGAGUAUACCAGCAAGGUCACUUGUCGUGACUCUUCGACAUGUCAUACGUGGUGCAAGUACAAUGGUGCUGAUGAUGGUCACUGCAGUAAAGUUAGUGAAUGUGGUUGUACCCUUGAUAACCUAGGAUUAAAGCCUAGACUGAAUCCACACAUGCCUCUGGGAUGCAGGGAGCAGAGGAGCCGGGAGAGAAAGCUGCCGAGUAGGCGAGGGAAUGGUUGUGCCGGCAGCUGUGGUGGAGGUUGCCCGACGCCAAUAUCUAAUUCAUCCUCAUAUUGGCGCUCCUCAUAUCUUGUGAUGUGGUUCAAAGCACAUGCCAUAUGA